AUGUCGUCCUCCGCCGUCCCUAUCACCUCCGGCCUCAACUACAACACCUCCGAGCCCCUCUCCCGGACGAACUAUGUUCUCUGGAGAGCUCAAGCGCGAUCCCAGAUAAUGGGCGCCGGCUUGUUUGGCUAUAUAGAUCAAACCCUAGAGGAGCCUCCCAAAACCAUCACCACCAAAGACAAAGAUGGCAAGGACCAGGUGAUUCCAAACCCUGCCUAUGCCCCCUGGCUGAUCCAGGAUCAACAUAUCGUCGCCUAUCUCCUUCGCAACCUGUCCAAAGAAGUUCUUGUCCAAGUUGCCUCGCUUGAAUCCUCACAUGCGAUAUGGGCUGCACUGGCGGCCAUGUUUUCUGCCGUCACGUUGUCCCGCGUCAACAACAUCCGAUCUGCGCUAACCAACGCGCAGAAAGGUACUCAGUCGGCCUCGGCAUACUUCGGGCAUAUGCGCUCCCUCUCCGAUGAGCUCGCGGCGGCGGGAAAACCACUCGGGGAGGGGGAGCUCAUCUCCUUCAUCGUCAUGGGCUUGGACAUGGACUACCAGCCAAUCAUCUCCGCCCUCGACGUGCGCACUGAACUUGUCACCAUCGACGCGCUCUUCUCCCUGGUGGCGAACUUCGAUCAGCGGAUCAAGAUGUUCCAUGGCGGUGGUGCUGGUGGCUUCAAGUCCUCGGCAAACGCUGCUUCCAGGGGUCGUCCAAACGCCGGCAAGGGAGGCUAUCACAACCAGAAGGGCGGCGGCGGCCCCCGAGGAAACGGAGGUGGCUACAGUGCUCCCGGUGGCGGCAACUAG
RNAcentral lists this ribosomal RNA (789 nucleotides) under Triticum aestivum (bread wheat). RNAcentral describes it as "partial small subunit ribosomal RNA". Lineage: Eukaryota; Viridiplantae; Streptophyta; Magnoliopsida; Poales; Poaceae. The record is from RNAcentral.